GGAAGAAUGUGAUGUUUAGCAUUCAAUUUCUUUUAAGAUUUGAGGUGUUGAUUCAUUGGAGGGGAUGUGGGCACGUAGACAUUCACUUGUGCUUGUGAGAUAAGGGCAUGCACAUUGAAGUGGUUGUACGUCCAAAAGCAGCAUCACGUAACACUUCUUCAAACUGGCAGCAGCAUCCACACAACAACAUAUUUUGGGCUUGAAAGAAGCAGUUGCAUCACGGCCCAUUCAUCUUCAAAUCCAGUAGCAAAAACGCAUCCUGCUUGAGAGCAAAGUCCAAC
RNAcentral lists this long non-coding RNA (281 nucleotides) under Vigna radiata. Its description in RNAcentral is "long non-coding RNA (VRAD_LNC001097)". Lineage: Eukaryota; Viridiplantae; Streptophyta; Magnoliopsida; Fabales; Fabaceae. The record is from RNAcentral.